UUAUAAUACUGGCUUCUCUAGGAGGAUUCAGCUUUUGUAGUUAAUAUGCAACUGCUGGAUGAGAAGGUGAUUCUGUCUGAGUUUUCCUUGAAGAUGAUGAUUCCCAGCUGGAGCAAAUGAAAGAUUUUAGAAAUUCUUAUCACAGUCAUCAACUGAAAACAGAUUGCUAACAUAUCUUUCUGUGUAUUUGCAGAGCAUUUUCACAGGUUCACAAGGAAAGACAAGUUAAUCUUGAAUCCAUUUACAUGAAUACUGAAGAACUCUGCAGACUUGCAGAGGGGCUAUUAUAUCUAAUAUCUCCCAGUAAUUCACAGCAAUUUCUACGUGUAAUUCAGUAAUCCUGGUUUAUCCCAGGGAACACAGAAACCUACAGAAGAAUUUCUCCAAAACCAGAAGUAUUCCUUCUGAAUAAGCCCAGCUUUUAAGUUCCUGAAGAAGUAAGGCAGGAACUGGACAGAAACCAAACCAAAAUCUCAUGCAAAUGGGCUGGGCACCUUUUAGAUGCAUACGGGAAGUAUGAAUAAGUGAAUAUGUGGCUCUAAGUGACUACUAAAGCUUGAUUGCCUCAAGCAACUCAGUGGCUAUGGAAGAGGCCAGAACUCUCUGGUUACCUAUCGGAGUGGCUGCUGCCUCCAUGCCUUGAAAUACAUGGCAGUUCUACUGGCCAGUUACAGGCUCAUUCUUUCUGGACCAGAGUAAUGGAGCUUGUCUUGAACUGGGUGCUGGCAUGAAAGAUGAAGGGCUACUGGCUGGUGACUCCUGCCUUAAUAGCAGAAGCAGUAUGGGGAAAGUCCUAAAUAUUUUCACUUGCUCCUAUGAAAGUAAUAGAACAAUAGGGAUUAAAACUUUCAUCCCUAUUGGAAGGGACCAUAUCUCUUUAUUGAUCCAACCUUCCAAUUUGUAUAACAGUGAAGUUGGGGUGUUUUGCCACAUUUCUUAGUGUGUUUUCUAAACAAAUUAUAUAGAUAAUGGGAGAAUUUUCAAGGUAUGUAAAUACAAUUGAUCUUCCUGUGUAAAUCUAACAUCUUGGUAGAUACAACUAUUUCUACUAUGCAUCCAUUUGGUAUAUAAAAGUGAGUCCUUGUUAACGAAGCACUUUGAAAAUGAAGCCUAUUUGUUUUUAAGGCAGCAGUCAAUAUCAAAGAUAGUCUUCCAGGUAACACUAUGUUCCUUUUUCAUUCAAGUCUUUUAGGCUAAUGUGCAAAGCUCAGUUAAUCAGUUUUGCACUGUUGUGAGAUACAAUGUUAAAUUAUUUGAAGUUGUUAGUUCAAACAGUUUAGGGAGAUUCCACAAUAAAUUAUUUCAUCUACUGUCUCAAGAAUCUCUUUCUCUUAGCAUUAAGAAAACUUAAGUUAUUAAUCUGGAUAUACUGUAUAAGGCUAAAUAACAGACAGAUACAUAGGGUGAAUGUGAAAGAAGGACCAGACAACCUUUCCAUAUCCUAUUAUUACAACUGUUGAAUAUCCUUUCUCUGAAAAAGUUUUAGGUGGAUGUGCUUUUUGCUCUUUCAUGAUUAUUUAAGCAUGACUUGUUAAAGACUUCACCAAAAAUAUACAUUUUCCUCUCUUCAUGAAAUUUUAAACUACACAGGUGCAGAAUGUUGCAUUUCUUACUGCUAUCCAUGCUUGUUUGGGGACCUGCUUAUUGUUCAAAGAUUUCAGUACACUUCUUUUAAGCAAAGUCUUGAAUUCUAUAAUUAAUGAGCUUGCUUAUUACUUCAGUUCUUUGCCUUUGAAGCAGAAAGUUUAUCUGAAGUGUUUCUAAAGUUCCCCUACAUCCCUUGGAAAACUUUGGAAAAAAAUGAAUAACAAAUAUGUGAAGACUUUCGGUUUUUCUCUAGGAAAAGAGAGGUUGUCUUGUUUAAAUUAUACAGUAAGCUUAAGUAGAUAAUUUUCCACAAUGAAUUGGUCAGCCUAAAAUUUCUAUAAGCGUUCACCCUGCGGUAAAGGUUGAAUUUAAAGAUGUUAAUGUUUUCUGCAUUUUUCUUGGUGUUCUUCCAACUACACAUUUUGAAUCUUAGGUUUCACAUAGUUGUUCAUGAAAUUACUGUGGAUCUUUUAUAUAAGUUUCAAAUAAUUUUUUAAGAAAUACAAAACAACAAAAUUUUUUUGAGAGCAAAGGCUUGUAAAGAAAAUGUUUCUCAGUAAAGGAUACUUUUCUUCUCCAGAAGACACAGGUUUUUUUUUGAAAAUGAUAUGCCUCUUUACUUUUGUAAGGCAUUUGCGGGAAAUAUUAUAACACAGAAUAUUUUUCUGUCUCUGUAACUUCUUUAUGCUUUGUAAAUGCUUUUUUGCCAAGUUUGAAUGAAAAAUUGAAUAUAAUAGGAAUAAUUUAUUGUCCUGGGUAUUUAUUUGAAUCAUUGAUUCCUUGUUAAGUGAAAUUUUUUCAUGAGCCAUAUUCUAUUGGGCAUGUAUAUGUAAUAUAUCUGGUCGGUGAAAGAGAUGUCAGUUUUGGUAAUGCAUUUUUCCGAGCUUUAUUUGAACUGAUACAGAAGGUGGAAUGAGCUGCUGUAACCACAAUGAAGUUGUUAGCUGUCAUUUAUUAAUGUAUAAAUUAAUAAAUUUAAUUUCUGAAAGACAAAUUACCUCAUAAUGGGAUUUGGUGCCUGAUGCAGCAGUUUCUGAUGGGCUUGGACAGACUUGUGCAAAAUUUUGUAUAGUGUAACAUAGAUUAUGGAAGGGAUAUCUUUCCAUACAUCUUUGAAGGCCUCUAGUAAGUAUCUAAAUAAAGACUAGUCCCUCAUAAAUUUUUGAUGCUUGUCAUCUCCUUCUAAACCCUCAUGUAUAAAUUAUAUUCUUUUCUGAAGCAGAGAUGUUUUGAAUAUUUUUCUUUUAAAAUUUCUCUGCAAUCUCAUUGGAUUUAUGCUGUUAUUAUCAAUCAAAUAUACCUACGGAAAGAAUAAUAUCAUCCUAAACUUCUGCGUUUCUUGUGUGAUGGCAAACGUAGUAUGAAACACCUAUGGAUGCAGUGUGGGUUAAAUAUUAAACAUAUUAAACUAUUUUUGUGUAAUAGCCUUUUCCUAUGGCGAUCUUUGAGAAGACUUCUGUUUUGACUUUGUUGAUGUUAAGGCUUUGCAUUAACUGUCGUUUCCUUGGAUGCUUACAUUUAUAAAACAAUCUUAGUUUUUAUUUCUUAAGAAAACAGGACUGAUUUUAAAAGAGGAAAGACCUUAGCCCAACUCUGUGUAACUUCAAAUUUUGAAAGAUUUAGGAAACAUGAAGUACCAGCGUAUGUCAGUUUGUAACAUGUGAUACUUGGGCUCUCAGGAAACAAUGCAGACGAUACUUGUACUGAAGGUAUUAGGAGAGCAUGAUGCGGAGUUUAAGUAUAUGAGAUCUAAUAUGCAGCAUCUGAUAGUUGUGUAUCACCAUGAAGGCAAACAUCAGGUUCAUCUACAAUAAGCAAAGUAAAAUGUUGAGUUCUUGAGAUUUAGUGUUUUAUUAGAGGGGAAAACCUCAUCACCCAAUUAUCUUCCCCAGCUCUUCUGUUUCUGCAUA
Molecule: non-coding RNA, 3497 nt
Organism: Phasianus colchicus (ring-necked pheasant)
Lineage: Eukaryota; Metazoa; Chordata; Aves; Galliformes; Phasianidae
Source: RefSeq, a predicted model, not a curated record